RNAcentral lists this ribosomal RNA (450 nucleotides) under uncultured bacterium. RNAcentral describes it as "partial 16S ribosomal RNA". It matches the Rfam family "Bacterial small subunit ribosomal RNA", at positions 354 to 796 of the family's 1533-position model. The record is from RNAcentral.
GUGGGGAAUAUUGGACAAUGGGCGAAAGCCUGAUCCAGCCAUGCCGCGUGUGUGAAGAAGGUCUUCGGAUUGUAAAGCACUUUAAGUUGGGAAGAAGGGCAGUAAGUUAAUACCUUGCUGUUUUGACGUUACCGACAGAAUAAGCACCGGCUAACUUCGUGCCAGCAGCCGCGGUAAUACGAAGGGUGCAAGCGUUAAUCGGAAUUACUGGGCGUAAAGCGCGCGUAGGUGGUUCAGCAAGUUGGAGGUGAAAUCCCCGGGCUCAACCUGGGAACUGCCUCCAAAACUACUGAGCUAGAGUACGGUAGAGGGUAGUGGAAUUUCCUGUGUAGCGGUGAAAUGCGUAGAUAUAGGAAGGAACACCAGUGGCGAAGGCGACUACCUGGACUGAUACUGACACUGAGGUGCGAAAGCGUGGGGAGCAAACAGGAUUAGAUACCCUUGUAGUCC